RNAcentral lists this transfer RNA (66 nucleotides) under Chaetocnema obesa. RNAcentral describes it as "tRNA-Val". Lineage: Eukaryota; Metazoa; Arthropoda; Insecta; Coleoptera; Chrysomelidae. The record is from RNAcentral.
CAAAUUAGAGCUUGAUAAAGCAUUUUAGUUACAUUAAAAAGAUAGUUUAAUAUAAACUUAAUUUGA